UCAAAGUGAAGAAAUUCAACC
RNAcentral lists this small nuclear RNA (21 nucleotides) under Arabidopsis thaliana (thale cress). RNAcentral describes it as "snRNA_00484". Lineage: Eukaryota; Viridiplantae; Streptophyta; Magnoliopsida; Brassicales; Brassicaceae. The record is from RNAcentral.